UUUUGGACAAUGGGGGCAACCCUGAUCCAGCCAUUCCGCGUGAGUGAAGAAGGCCUUCGGGUUGUAAAGCUCUUUCGCAAGGGAAGAAACGUUACCGGUGAAUAUCCGGUGAUAAUGACGGUACCUUGAUAAGAGGCACCGGCUAACUACGUGCCAGCAGCCGCGGUAAUACGUAGGGUGCGAGCGUUAAUCGGAAUUACUGGGCGUAAAGCGUGCGCAGGCUGUUUUGUAAGUCAGAUGUGAAAUCCCCGAGCUCAACUUGGGAACUGCGUUUGAAACUACAAGACUAGAAUAGGUCAGAGGGGGGUAGAAUUCCACGUGUAGCAGUGAAAUGCGUAGAGAUGUGGAGGAAUAUCAAUGGCGAAGGCAGCCCCCGGGAUCAUAUUACGCUCAGCAGAGA
This 400-nucleotide ribosomal RNA is filed under the name uncultured bacterium. RNAcentral's name for it is "bacterial SSU rRNA". It matches the Rfam family "Bacterial small subunit ribosomal RNA", at positions 362 to 758 of the family's 1533-position model. The record is from RNAcentral.